RNAcentral lists this ribosomal RNA (253 nucleotides) under uncultured bacterium. Its description in RNAcentral is "partial 16S ribosomal RNA". It matches the Rfam family "Bacterial small subunit ribosomal RNA", at positions 524 to 776 of the family's 1533-position model. The record is from RNAcentral.
UACAGAGGGGGCAAGCGUUGUCCGGACUUACUGGGUGUAAAGCGCAUGCAGGUGGCUGUGCAAGUAUGCUGUGAAAGCCCCGUGCUUAACACGGGGAGGCCAGUAUAGACUGCACGGCUCGAGGACUGCAGAGGGUAGGGGAAUUGCUGGUGUAGUGGUGAAAUGCGUAGAGAUCCGGAGGAACACCAGAGGCGAAGGCGGCCUACUGGGUCAGUACUGACGCUGAGACGCGAAAGCCAGGGGAGCGAACGGG